Molecule: transfer RNA, 71 nt
Filed under: Filchnerella dingxiensis
Lineage: Eukaryota; Metazoa; Arthropoda; Insecta; Orthoptera; Pamphagidae
Description: tRNA-Asp
Rfam family: tRNA
About the family: Transfer RNA (tRNA) molecules are approximately 80 nucleotides in length. Their secondary structure includes four short double-helical elements and three loops (D, anti-codon, and T loops).
Source: RNAcentral
AAGGAGUUAGUUAAAAUAAAUAUAACAUUAGAGUGUCAAUCUAAAAUUACUAGUUAAAUUAGUACACCUUG